GUUUUUAAAGUAUUUGUUGUGCGUCAUAUUGUCACUUUGUGAGUUUUCUCCUGAACAGCAGCUCCUCCUUUUUAUACACCAGAAUAAUGAUGAUGAUCGGUGUUAGAAGAGCGACUGGAAUCAGAACCACAAAAAUCCUGUUCCUAAUUUUCCCUCUGUUGGAUCUCAUCCGCUUCACAAAUUCCCAUUCUGCACAGAAACACAUGACAGCAUUACAGGAAUUGUGCCAGAAAACAAAAGAAGAUCUUGAGAAACUGAAGAAAACACAUCAGUCUGAAUUCAGGACUCCAUUAGAUCCAGCUGAUGAAGGUGUCAACAUAAUGAAUCCAGUGAAAGCACUGAUGAAGAAAUAUGAUCAUAAUCUUCCUCAUAGUCAUCCUCCAGUCCAACCAAAAGUUUCUCUGAGGGAAAAAGAUCAUCGCUGUUGACUGCAAGAGUGAUGAGUUUGAAAUGCAUGUUUACUUGACAAAUGAACAUGUGUGCAGGAUGAAGAAGAAUCGAUACAUGACUUUGAAGUUACCUUAAGAAUAGAAUCUUAUCUCUGUUCCUUUAAGAUAUUUAUAACAUUCUAUUGUAAUGCAAUGAAUCAUGGAAAAUCAAUGGAAGUUGGUACAAUAUUAUUUUUUAACAUUUUGUGGCAGAUUUAUUCAAAACCAGGCAGCAACAGAAGUGGGUAAAAUAAACAGCAAAGAACUG
Xiphophorus couchianus (Monterrey platyfish) is the source of this 696-nucleotide long non-coding RNA. RefSeq lists it as uncharacterized. NCBI's taxonomy places the organism in Eukaryota, Metazoa, Chordata, Actinopteri, Cyprinodontiformes, Poeciliidae. The record is from RefSeq and is a predicted model, not a curated record. The transcript is spliced from 4 exons.